RNAcentral lists this ribosomal RNA (578 nucleotides) under Purpureocillium lilacinum. Its description in RNAcentral is "eukaryotic LSU rRNA". The stretch from base 208 to 361 matches the Rfam family "5.8S ribosomal RNA". The record is from RNAcentral. Lineage: Eukaryota; Fungi; Ascomycota; Sordariomycetes; Hypocreales; Ophiocordycipitaceae.
CCUGCGGAGGGAUCAUUACCGAGUUAUACAACUCCCAAACCCACUGUGAACCUUACCUCAGUUGCCUCGGCGGGAACGCCCCGGCCGCCUGCCCCCGCGCCGGCGCCGGACCCAGGCGCCCGCCGCAGGGACCCCAAACUCUCUUGCAUUACGCCCAGCGGGCGGAAUUUCUUCUCUGAGUUGCACAAGCAAAAACAAAUGAAUCAAAACUUUCAACAACGGAUCUCUUGGUUCUGGCAUCGAUGAAGAACGCAGCGAAAUGCGAUAAGUAAUGUGAAUUGCAGAAUUCAGUGAAUCAUCGAAUCUUUGAACGCACAUUGCGCCCGCCAGCAUUCUGGCGGGCAUGCCUGUUCGAGCGUCAUUUCAACCCUCGAGCCCCCCCCGGGGGCCUCGGUGUUGGGGGACGGCACACCAGCCGCCCCCGAAAUGCAGUGGCGACCCCGCCGCAGCCUCCCCUGCGUAGUAGCACACACCUCGCACCGGAGCGCGGAGGCGGUCACGCCGUAAAACGCCCAACUUUCUUAGAGUUGACCUCGGAUCAGGUAGGAAUACCCGCUGAACUUAAGCAUAUCAAUAAG